Long non-coding RNA from Dicentrarchus labrax (European seabass), 2478 nucleotides. RefSeq lists it as uncharacterized. NCBI's taxonomy places the organism in Eukaryota, Metazoa, Chordata, Actinopteri, Moronidae. The record is from RefSeq and is a predicted model, not a curated record. The transcript is spliced from 2 exons.
GUCAAUAUUGAUCAAUGUCAGUUGGGUGGAAAAACACAGAGGGGGAAAUAGCUUGUCAAAAGUGUAAGUAGAUACUUAUGAAUAAUAGAAUAGCCUACAUUCAGUUUUCCACAAGGCAUAAAAGUCUAAUCUGUAAUGUGAGGAAACAGUGACGUCAGUGCAAACACGCACAUCUACAUGUUUUGUGUUUUGAUCGGAUGUGUGGGUUGUAGUUGACAAAAGCAAGGGGAGGUGUUUGGAGAAGACUUACUGUAUGACAAUCUGAAGAAAACCUCAAUAGAAGAAAAGAACCCAUUACCGCUGUCACCGUCUUAUUAACACUGACUCUGCUUUCAGAUGAUGGAACUCUGUAAAGAGUCUGACAUCAUGAGCGUUCCCCUCUGAAAUCAGCUGAGAAAUGUUGAGUGUAUAAAAAUAAAAUUCAGGAAGGUAAACAUUUUUGGAAGGCUCACAAAGGUCUAAUAGGUACCAAGUGGGUAAGUUAAAUAAACCAAAUAAUGGGGCAAUGUAGAGCAGAGAAAAGUAUUUGAUAAGGCCAUGGCCCCACAAUCCCCGCGAUGACAACACCAGCACGAGACCCAGUCUGCGGCAGCCAGGACUUUGGCACUGUGUCAGCGUGGGCAGCCCUCUUAUCCACUAUACUGGUAAUGGGAUGUAGUCAGAGAGAGUACAGUAAGACUGAAUGCAAACUGUUAUCAUGGACUGUCCCUGAUAACACACCAGUGUUGUGUUGCAUUAUAUUCACCCAUGGACUUUACUCCAAAACAGUGCAUAAAAACAUCACCAUAGGAACUAGGAGCAACUGUCAGAUUAAAUAGUUUAUUGUAUCUGACUAAAUAAAUCCUUGGAUUGUGUCACAGCCUAUUUUCCAGAUUUGACUGGAAAAACAUAUUAAAACAACAUUAAACAAAUGGUAUUCAUUCAUAAAAAAUGUUUUGUUGGUGCAAAUGUAAGACGUAAUGUAACUGACCAAAAAGGAGGUCAAAACUCAGACAAUAUAAUUUUUACCAACAAUAACUAAAGUUUAUGGUCUUAAUAAGCCACAUAAAUGAAACAGUAUGACACUUACAAUCAACAGCAGAAUAUAAACUCCACAGAGGCUGCAGCCACAAACACACAUAUUAAAAGGAAGAAAGAGCGCUCCACAGGUUUUUCAUGUGUCGUGUACACAGAUACACAACACUAACUUGCCAGGCAACAUUGACGUUCUCAUUUGGAAAGCGCUACAAUCAUCCAUGAGUUUGUUGUUGUACUCACCUGAACAUCUGGACACCGCUCCGUUCAUUCUGUGAGUCUACAAUAUUGCUAACCUCAACCCAUAACGACAAGUUUUUUUAUUAUAUUACAUUGUUGUACUUUGCACAAUCGGCUAAGCUAGGCCAGGUUGUGACUGCACCCCACACCCCUGUUAGUGUCAGCUGAGUGCACAGUGGCACCUCUCUGGAGCUCUGCCCUUCUGCAGCUACAGAUGCACCAGCAGCUUCUUCUCUGCUGCAGAUGCUUACUUUUUCAUUAGACUUUUUCUUCCGUAGUGGAUGUGACUUGAAAUGUUGAGAAAUACAAUACUUGAGACAAAAAGCACCAUAAAAGUAAAAGUAAAAUUAGGCAAUUUACUGAUUUUUAAAUAAUACUCAAACACACAAUUAAUGACUUUGUUACAGUAAUGAGAUUAAGUUUGUUACUUCCACCCCUGCUGAAAACCACUGGAAACAUUCCCUUGUGUAGAGAGGAAAACUAUUUGAGUGAAAAAUGUUCUUUGAGUCGCCUGCUGGAGGAGCUGUUGCUAUCAGAGGAGAUGAGAGGAAGGAGGAACAACUGGCGACAAAGCUGUGCACUCUGUGACUUCAUUUCAUUCUUCAAUGGCAUUUUGGUGACAAUAAAACAUGGUUGAUUGUCAUGCACACACACAAACAUGAUGGACCCUUCUUAAUAACACCCAAAACCUAGUGAAGGAGAACUAAACUGGAGAUUUGUUCAUAGAUCAUGUUGUUUUCAAGCUUAUAUGCAGAAAUAAAGAGGCUGCACCAGUACAUGUACUAUACUAUACUAUGCAUUCAAAAGAUACGUGAAAAGGAAGUGAAGCCAAAGAAAUAACUUGGACCCAGCAGUUUAAAAUUCACUUCUUUAAUGGUAAAAAUAAGAACAACAUUAAGCAUCUUGUGUUGUACUAUUUGUGUUGUUGUACUAUUUGUGUUAUCUGUUGUUACUGUUGUACUAUUUGUGUUAUCUGUUGUUUGUGGAUUCGUACUGUUGUGGAUUUUUACUGUUUUUUCUUUUUUCUCUUGUACAUAGUGUUUUUUAUUUAUUAUUUUUCCUACCCCUACUGUUUUUAUACUGUUUUUUUUUUUUUUCUCUCUAUCCACUUUGCUGCUGCAACAUUGGAAUUUCCCCAUUGUGGGACAAAUAAAGGAAUAUCUUAUCUUAUCUUCUGAAAAAUACUAACAUUUGUCUUCUGGAAUAAAGUGGAUUUGCACUCUU